AUUGAACGCUGGCGGCAGGCCUAACACAUGCAAGUCGAACGAGUGGCGGACGGGUGAGUAAUGUCUGGGAAACUGCCUGAUGGAGGGGGAUAACUACUGGAAACGGUAGCUAAUACCGCAUACCAUCAGAUGUGCCCAGAGGGGAUUAGCUAGUAGGUGGGGUAAUGGCUCACCAAGGCGACGAUCCCUAGCUGGUCUGAGAGGAUGACCAGCCAAACUGUAACUGAGACACGGGCCAGCCUCCUACGGGAGGACGCAGUGGUGAAUAGUGCACAAUGGGCGCAAGCCUGAUGCAGCCAUGCCGCGGGUGUGAAGAGGGCCUGCGGGUUGUAAAGCAGUUUCAGCGAGUAGGCGUUACUCGCAGAAGAAGCACCGGCUAACUCCGUGCCAGCAGCCGCGGUAAUUC
This 406-nucleotide ribosomal RNA is filed under the name uncultured bacterium. Its description in RNAcentral is "partial 16S ribosomal RNA". It matches the Rfam family "Bacterial small subunit ribosomal RNA", at positions 30 to 526 of the family's 1533-position model. The record is from RNAcentral.